AUUGAACGCUGGCGGCAGGCUUAACACAUGCAAGUCGAGCGGGGUGAUGGUGCUUGCACUAUCACUUAGCGGCGGACGGGUGAGUAAUGCUUAGGAAUCUGCCUAUAGUGGGGGACGACAUCUCGAAAGGGAUGCUAAUACCGCAUACGUCCUACGGGAGAAAGCAGGGGAUCACUUGUGACCUUGCGCUAAUAGAUGAGCCCAAGUCGGAUUAGCUAGUUGGUGGGGUAAAGGCCUACCAAGGCGACGAUCUGUAGCGGGUCUGAGAGGAUGAUCCGCCACACUGGGACUGAGACACGGCCCAGACUCCUACGGGAGGCAGCAGUGGGGAAUAUUGGACAAUGGGGGGAACCCUGAUCCAGCCAUGCCGCGUGUGUGAAGAAGGCCUUAUGGUUGUAAAGCACUUUAAGCGAGGAGGAGGCUCUUUUGGUUAAUACCCAAGAUGAGUGGACGUUACUCGCAGAAUAAGCACCGGCUAACUCUGUGCCAGCCGCCGCCGUAA
Molecule: ribosomal RNA, 502 nt
Filed under: uncultured bacterium
Lineage: Bacteria
Description: partial 16S ribosomal RNA
Rfam family: Bacterial small subunit ribosomal RNA
Source: RNAcentral